GACGAACGCUGGCGGCGUGCUUAACACAUGCAAGUCGAACGGUGAUGCUCCAGCUUGCUGGAGUGGAUCAGUGGCGAACGGGUGAGUAACACGUGAGCAACCUGCCCCAGACUCUGGAAUAAGCGCUGGAAACGGCGUCUAAUACUGGAUACGAAACUGGCCCGCAUGGGCAUGGUUUGGAAAGUUUUUCGGUUUGGGAUGGGCUCGCGGCCUAUCAGCUUGUUGGUGAGGUAAUGGCUCACCAAGGCGACGACGGGUAGCCGGCCUGAGAGGGCGACCGGCCACACUGGGACUGAGACACGGCUCAGACUCCUACGGGAGGCAGCAGUGGGGAAUAUUGCACAAUGGGCGAAAGCCUGAUGCAGCGACGCCGCGUGAGGGAUGACGGCCUUCGGGUUGUAAACCUCUUUCAGCAGGGAAGAAGCGAAAGUGACGGUACCUGCAGAAGAAGCACCGGCUAACUACGUG
This 468-nucleotide ribosomal RNA is filed under the name uncultured bacterium. Its description in RNAcentral is "partial 16S ribosomal RNA". It matches the Rfam family "Bacterial small subunit ribosomal RNA", at positions 28 to 507 of the family's 1533-position model. The record is from RNAcentral.